Molecule: ribosomal RNA, 407 nt
Filed under: uncultured bacterium
Lineage: Bacteria
Description: partial 16S ribosomal RNA
Rfam family: Bacterial small subunit ribosomal RNA
Source: RNAcentral
AUUGAACGCUGGCGGCAGGCUUAACACAUGCAAGUCGAACGGAGUGGCGGACGGGUGAGUAAUACCUAGGAAUCUGCCUGGUAGUGGGGGAUAACGUUCGGAAACGGACGCUAAUACCGCAUACUAUCAGAUGAGCCUAGGUCGGAUUAGCUAGUUGGUGAGGUAAUGGCUCACCAAGGCUACGAUCCGUAACUGGUCUGAGAGGAUGAUCAGUCACACUGGAACUGAGACACGGUCCAGACUCCUACGGGAGGCAGCAGUGGGGAAUAUUGGACAAUGGGCGAAAGCCUGAUCCAGCCAUGCCGCGUGUGUGAAGAAGGUCUUCGGAUUGUAAAGCACUUUAAGUUGGGAGGCGUUACCGACAGAAUAAGCACCGGCUAACUCUGUGCCAGCAGCCGCGGUAAUAC